This 640-nucleotide ribosomal RNA is filed under the name Bacillus subtilis. RNAcentral describes it as "bacterial SSU rRNA". It matches the Rfam family "Bacterial small subunit ribosomal RNA", at positions 59 to 679 of the family's 1533-position model. The record is from RNAcentral. Lineage: Bacteria; Bacillati; Bacillota; Bacilli; Caryophanales; Bacillaceae.
AAGUCGAGCGGACAGAUGGGAGCUUGCUCCCUGAUGUUAGCGGCGGACGGGUGAGUAACACGUGGGUAACCUGCCUGUAAGACUGGGAUAACUCCGGGAAACCGGGGCUAAUACCGGAUGGUUGUUUGAACCGCAGGGUUCAAACAUAAAAGGUGGCUUCGGCUACCACUUACAGAUGGACCCGCGGCGCAUUAGCUAGUUGGUGAGGUAACGGCUCACCAAGGCAACGAUGCGUAGCCAACCUGAGAGGGUGAUCGGCCACACUGGGACUGAGACACGGCCCAAACUCCUACGGGAGGCAGCAGUAGGGAAUCUUCCGCAAUGGACGAAAGUCUGACGGAGCAACGCCGCGUGAGUGAUGAAGGUUUUCGGAUCGUAAAGCUCUGUUGUUAGGGAAGAACAAGUACCGUUCGAAUAGGGCGGUACCUUGACGGUACCUAACCAGAAAGCCACGGCUAACUACGUGCCACCAGCCGCGGUAAUACGUAGGUGGCAAGCGUUGUCCGGAAUUAUUGGGCGUAAAGGGCUCGCAGGCGGUUUCUUAAGUCUGAUGUGAAAGCCCCCGGCUCAACCGGGGGAGGGUCAUUGGAAACUGGGGAACUUGAGUGCAGAAGAGGAGAGUGGAAUUCCACGUUGUACC